This is a long non-coding RNA of Gallus gallus (chicken), 6055 nucleotides long. RefSeq lists it as uncharacterized. NCBI's taxonomy places the organism in Eukaryota, Metazoa, Chordata, Aves, Galliformes, Phasianidae. The transcript has 2 exons. The record is from RefSeq and is a predicted model, not a curated record.
GCCUUCCUUCCCAAUAUUUGCCUUUUGUGGGCAAAAGCUGUCGGUGGAGCAGAGCUCUCCGGCACGGCCAGCCGGAGGAUUUGUGCACUCCGAUGUUUUACUACUGUUAUGAUUCCUCAUUGACUGAAAGUACAAAGAAAAUCGCCGUGUAAACAAGUCGCCGUCUGAAGGGGAUGUGGGCGAAAUUCGGGGCAAGCAGAACCUCAGCAGGGAUUUAAGGGAAGAAGGGAAACAAGGGGAAAACACGACAAUCCUGUGUAAGGUUUUCUCUAUGCAAUGGCAGUAUCACUUCGGAGCUGUGCAGGGUUUUUUUUCCCCAUGUUUCAUGGGGCAGAGGAGAGCCCUAAAGUGGUUUUUUCUCCCUGAGAAUAUCUGGAUGGCAUCGAUCUGUCUCCCAACAGAAAGAAGUAGGUUCCAGCAUGAGGCUUAGGGGGUUUCUUCAUUCUCCCACCUGAAACUAGCAGUUUUUUUUUUCCAUGAAACUGUAUUUUAUUGCAUUCUUUCUUUUGAGCGGGUCAAUCCCCCCCCUUUUCUUUUAACCUAGCAACAUUAAGCAACGCUGCAGAGGGAUUGUCAACACUACAGCAUUUGGCUUUGGGGAUAACACCACUGCUGUCGGAGCCAGGUAGGCCCUGCAGAGGUGGGGGGCAGCAGGAUGGAGGUUGAUGCCCCCCCCAGCGCUCACCCCCAGGUGCUCACCCCAUGGGCAGCCCCCAUGGGGUGACCCACUGAAGGACGGGGACAGGGGGUUGUCCCCACCAUGGCACACACAUGCAGACAUGUGCACACACAUGUGCACGCGUGUUCACGCGCACACCCUCCUCUAACCCCGCAUCCGACCGCGCCGCUCCCGAGCAGCGCUAAUGAUGCCGCAGCACCAGCGAUGCGGUGCGAGGCAAAAAGCAGAUGAAAGUGAUGUCACAUUAAUGUCAGCUCACAACUCGAGCCCACACAGCCUUGAUUGCUCUUAUUAAUCUUGCCAAUUUGUCUGUCAGCACUCAACUAAUCCCUAAAUAGCCUCCCAACAGGUGCUUUAUGCUUCCGCCACAUCGCUGCUCCCCGGCAUCCCCCACCCUUCCCCCCCGAGCCCCGGAGCCCUCCUCGGUGACACCGUCUCUCUCCUGUCCAUCUGGGAGCAGCUCCUUCCCCGGGAGGGCUGGAAGGGAGAGAGGCAGCUUUGCAGAUGUUGUUUAGUCUGUGCACAGAGGGCGCGGAGCUGGGGGCUUCCAAAUGGAAGCGAUGGGAGGCGGGGAGGGGAUGCUGGAGAAAAUCACCUUGGGUUGGGUGGGGGUAAAUGGGGGAUGAAUAACACCCCCCCCCCCAAACUGGAGUUUGCUCACAUCACUGUGAAUAUCUACACUUAUAGCACACGAUGGUUGCAUUGCUUUUAUGUAUCACUGGCUUGUUGGUUUUAUUGAGAGGGGAGGAAAGCGUAGCGCAAAACCGAAGCUGCAGUGGAAAAGCCACAUUACACCCUGAGCAGCUUUAUCCUGCAAUUAAGCCGAGGGUCAAACAUUUCCUUUGCUGUGCUAUCAGAAAAUCCACUGGCUUAUUGCAGUGUAUAUUUAGCUGUGAAGUUCCCGCUGAGCUCAGAGUGGAAGGCUGAAAUUAUUGUGCUCCAUCCUCCCAGCACUCUUAUUUAGCACAGUAGUUUUAAACACAGGUUUUGCAUGCAGGAAACCCUACGAACCACUAAAGUGGAGCCUAAGCUGCUUUCCUGCAUUAAAAUAAAAAAAAAAAAAGAAAGAAAAAAAGGGAUAUAUAUACAUGUAUUUUGGUUUGGCAGCUCGCUGCAUGGAGCAGCUCGCACGCAGCCUUCAGCCCCAUGCGCUGCAGCUCACCUGGAGGAUGCUGUGCUCUGCAGGAGGAGCUGCCAAACCCGGCUCUGCUGGAGCAGGCUCCAGUUUUACAUCCGAAGUUGGCUCAGGCUGCUUCCAGCCCUGCGCUCAGCACUGCAGGAAGGAAGCUUUCAGGGCAUCCUCCACUGCUCUUCCAAGAGAUUCACCAAGGGGAGCCUACCCGCUGCUAGCGCUUGGGGCUGCUCAUCAUUAACCCUUGGGUGCUUCAGAUCAGGUCCUGAAAGCCCUCUAAAAACACCAUUUGCAACCUCAAGCCAUUUCCCUCCAUCCUGACCUGGGUUUAUUAUCGGGAGACAGAUAGAUUUUUCCUUCUUUCUCCCCAUCCAUUUAUUUCAACCAAUAAGACGAUCCAUCACGGCGCGCUGGAACCGACCUACGAUCCGGGGAUAUUCUUAGAUACUCAGCAUGUCAGGAAACGGCUCACAGCCCCACUUGAUGCAAAUAUUUGGACGAGCGAGAGGUAGGAAGGAUUGUCCAAAUGUUUACUGAAGGCUGUUGAUAGCCCAAGGAUUUAUAACUGGCGCAUAAUGCCUGCCCCCACACAGCUCCUCUAGCAGGUGCAUCCAGUUUCAGCAUGACACAUGGUAUGCGCGUGCUCUGGGAACGGGGAUGCAGGAGAAAGUGCUUUCACAGGUCUCGCCUCCCUCUUCCCAUCUUCAUUAAGGUUUGGAGAGGCAAGGCAGGAGCUCAGGAUCAGCUCUGGUGAUAGAGAUCCCCAGCAGCAAUUUACACCUGAAGGCAAAACUUAAGCAUCGAGCCCGUUUGGUUGGAAUUUCCCAAGUGAAACCAAGGCUCUGAAUUAUUUAGGCCCAUUGUCACACUCCUUCAGUGCUGAGAUGGAGAAAUUCACAUCAUUCUAGCUAUUCCCCUUUCCAUUUCACUUCCUAACUCACACCACCAGGGUUUGAUCUCUUCUUCCCCACAGUAAUCCCUAAUUACUGUUGGGGGGACAUCACUGCCAACUGAUUGGGUUUAACCUUUUCUGGUGUCCAAGGAGGAGCAGUUUUUUGGUGGCUUUGAGGACCCCAAUGGAAAUGCCCCAGCACCCACUGCCAGACAGCCCCUACACCACUGACAGAGAACAGCAUGCUCAGAGCAGAGCACGUUGGCCAACUAGAGUUGGAGAUACACUCAAGGAAAGCUUUAGUACCUUGCCCAAGGCCAACGAGCAAUGGCAUUCAAUGGCAGAAAGAAGUCAGUUUGCUGAUACCCUGUCCUGCAUAACCCGUCGCCUAGAUGCCCUCAGGUUGCAGGGAGACAUCAGAUGGCUCCAACACAACCUCCUGCUCAAAGCAGAUCCAUGGUUCAUGCAAGAUCAGUCCACUAUAGCUUUGUGUAGCUGAGCCUUGAAAACCUCCAAGGACAAAGCCCAGCAGCCAUGCAUAUGGAUAGUUCAGGCAGCAGAGGAGCUGUUGGUGCCCUUGUGCCCAUCCAACCAGGCUCUCAGACUCUGCCAUCAGCUCAGUGGCUGCUUUGUCUGUAAGCAUUCCUACAUUGCAUUACUGAGAAUCCUGUGGAACAGGAGAAAUGGGCACGGAGCUGAAUCACUCAAGUCUGCUAAUUGCCUUUUCCUCAACCAUUCAGUAGGUUUUGACUAUGCUAGGAACAAGAACGCAUGCACUCAGCAUGCUGCAGACGCCCAGACAACGUGCUUUUCUGUGUAACUAGCAGCAAUUGUAUCUGCUGCAGAACAGCCUUUAAUUCAUUGCAGCCCCGGAUGGCAGAGUUUGCUGACUGCUCAGGCAGGAAUACAAUGGCCCUAUUGUUUUGCUAAGGGAAGAUUUCUUUGUUGCAUGCUGCCGUGUAAACUGUAUGUUUUCUAUCUGUUACCUGAUUCGUUUCGAUGGAAUCCCUUAGAUAGGCUUAAGGCAAUCUGCUGUCCUGCUCUGGAGCAAUGGGAGAAACUCUGGGAGGCUGAGGACCUGGCCAUUUGUGUUACCUCUAUUUGGCUUGCCUGGAAAGAAGGAAGAGAAUUUGGUGUUCUUCAUGGGAGCAGAAAUUGAGUAAUAAAAUACACGGGGAAAAAUGUAGUAAGUGCUCAAAUUCCAAAGUCAUCUGCUGUGCUCGAUGAAGGUUUUCUUUAUAUAUCAAAAGAAUUCGGUCCUGGUUUUGGUGUCACAUUCUCAGCAUGACCUUAAAAGUGUAGCUGUAACUCAGACUAAUCCGGACUUCUCUCUCCUUAAACCUAUUGCUCAACAAACACCCAACAGUGUGGAAAUGUGUUUCCUAGAUGAGAAUCUUGAGCCAUCAACGGGCCCCAAGCCAGAGGGAUUCUGCAAAUGCACAUGGUGGUCAUGUUGUGCACAGCCCAAAGCCUUCUUCACAGCUGUGCCAACCAUGCUUCCAUACCAAUCUCUCCAAUUUCUCUUCGUGUUAGCAGUGGGAUUAUCUCCCUGGACUUGUUGGGUUGUGGUAUGGGGAUAGUCUCCCUAUAGAUCUCCUUCCACAGGUGCUUCUCUCCCCAGACCCUUUGUGUAGAUAUAGUAAAGCAGGGGUUUAAAAGAUUGGUAAAAGGAUUGGAUUUAAGGCGUUGCAGCCCAAAAAUACAAUCCUAAAACCUGAAUUUGCCUGUCAUCUGAACCCAGAUGCAUCCACACGGCAUGGGGGCAACAGCAAGCUGUGGCAGAAGAGAGGGUCUUGUGCAGAUAUGUUCUCCGGUCUCUGUCACAGCAGUUUUAGGAGAGGAAGACUAUGGAAAUCCAGUUAAAAACUGCAAAACCAGUAGGAUCUGGGCCAGGCUUAACCAAAGCAGAAAUAAAUCAGCUCAGCCACUGGUGUGUUUCAGUGCAUUUGGGCUUAGAGGCGAUGUGGGCGACGGCUUGUGGUCCAGACCAGCAUGGUGCUUUUAGCUAUAUAUAAUUAGAUGUUUUUUCUACUGCAAACCAUUACUGACAGAUUGAAAGGGUUUUAUUCCACAGGAUUUUUCCUGCCUCGUCUGCCAGGGAACAAGCAGGCCUCACUCAAGCUCUGCUUCGUUGGUGUAAAUCACAGCAUGGGGCUACCUUAUCUCAGCCAGAGCCCCCGUGCAGGAAUGCUGCUCUGUCCAGCCCUCAGGCCACCCACCCCUGAUCCCGGGCUCCAGCAUCUGCUCCAGGCCCAAGCUCUGACCCUUCAGAGACAUAUUUUUGCAAGGUUUCUGGCCAGCAGCUCCAAGGACUGUCACAGCCAUGUUGUGCGUUUGGGAACGUCAUGCAAUGGGGCUUUAACUGUGAAUGGAGGACAUCCUGGCCCCACUAUGGGUGGGAUAAGAACAACUCUCACCUCAAAGGUGAGUGUUUGGAAGUGGAGGGGGGCAGUGAUGGGGGCAGGCUUCCCUGAGAAGCAAAUCAGCACACGUGCACCCAAAAUUUCCCAAACCACAACCUUAUGGAGGCUCUUUUGGCUGUAGGGUGCACUGAUGACAGAGCCAGCUCCCACCAUCUGUGGAUUUCCUCAUCCUGGCAGCUCAGUGGGGAGCAGCAGGUCCUAGCUAAAUGCCUUGUGGUCCAGAUGCCAUGGACCAUCCCCCCUGGAUUCAAUAAGAGCAGUGCCCCUACAACACCAUGGUGAGCAGUUGCAUGGAGGUUUGAGCCAUCCCAGGGUGGAGAUCACCUUCUCCAUCCCCACAUUUGCCAUAAGCCCAAACCCAGCCCCAUCACAUGCAAUGAUAAAAAGGGAACUGGCAGCACAAAACUCGUUGUGAUUUCCAGGCUGAUGUCUGCACAACCCUACUGGCUUCUCCGAAAGAACCAAGAGACACAAACCUGUUCUGUCCUAAGGUUUCCCAUUAAGCUAAUUACUGCUAAUUGUACCACUUGGCUAUCUCACCAACCGCACCCUGAGCAGGGCUGAUAGGGUAUCAGUGAGAUAAGAAGCACUCGAAUAGCACAGGUAACAGAACUUUGGGAGGGGUUAUCACCCCUACCACCCUCCUUUGGGGGACACUGAGGUCAUAAGGAUGUGUGCAGGGGCUGGCACACAACUAUAAGCCUUUCAGGAAAUGCUACCGAGGGGUUUUGGUGACUGUUCUCUGCAAGUUGCAGAGAAGCAAGCUGGCAUUCAUUUCAUAGUAAUUCCUUUAAAUUCACUUAGCAUGCGGAUUAUUUGUAUGAGCUGUUUUUGUUGCCGUUAACACAACACUGUGGAAAUGGAGGUUUCAUUAUUUCUCCAUUUUUUCCCCCCUCCCACAGAGAAAUAAAUGCUGUUCUUUUAACAAA